Cololabis saira (Pacific saury) is the source of this 571-nucleotide long non-coding RNA. RefSeq lists it as uncharacterized. NCBI's taxonomy places the organism in Eukaryota, Metazoa, Chordata, Actinopteri, Beloniformes, Belonidae. The transcript has 2 exons. The record is from RefSeq and is a predicted model, not a curated record.
UCAUAGGGUCUCGGGGGGUCACACGUUUACUGAGUCCAACCACCGGUCAGGGUAACAAACCAAGUGUGAAUGCCUGCGCUCUGUAAAAAGCCCUCUAACCUUGGGUUUGGUCCUCGGCCUCAGCUGCUCCAGUUUCUUGGCAGCUGCUUCAAUGGCCGCCGCCGCUCCCAGCAGCUCAUUCUCUGCGAUGACAGUCGGAUCCUCCGGGUCCACCCACUCCGUGCCUGCAGCGCACGACAACAAUACUGGUUCACUCUGGUGCAUCAACACAAUGGGGAUUCAAACUCUGGCCAACGAUGCACAAGCCUGGAAAGAGAGCCGAGGCUUUUCUCUGCCAAACAUCCGUCCGCUGAGACACGGAGGAGGCCGACUAAACCGGCAGCUCCGGUUAACUUGUAAAGGUCAAAGAUGAAGAUACCUUUCAUAGCCUCGGCAGCCUGGAUGAGCUCGGUGACGCUGCCCGCCACACGCUUGGAGUAGGUGGCCAACUGCUGCUUCAGAUCAUGAGUGGGUUUCUGGAUGAUCUGUGGAUGAAAGGAAAAUAAAAUAUUACUUAUUGUCAUCAGUCUGA